GCCUCGGUAGUUUAGUGGUUAUAAUUUUUCACUUGUAGGAUGAAAGGGUCCUGUGUUCGACUCACAGCCGUGGCA
Molecule: transfer RNA, 75 nt
Filed under: Cryptococcus deneoformans B-3501A
Lineage: Eukaryota; Fungi; Basidiomycota; Tremellomycetes; Tremellales; Cryptococcaceae
Description: tRNA-Thr
Rfam family: tRNA
About the family: Transfer RNA (tRNA) molecules are approximately 80 nucleotides in length. Their secondary structure includes four short double-helical elements and three loops (D, anti-codon, and T loops).
Source: RNAcentral